GCUAGAUAGCUCAGCUGGUUAGAGCAUGGUGCUGAUAAUGCCAAGGUCACAGGUUUGAUCCCCGUAUGGGACAGCUGCA
This 79-nucleotide transfer RNA is filed under the name Podarcis lilfordi (Lilford's wall lizard). Its description in RNAcentral is "tRNA.Ile". The stretch from base 7 to 65 matches the Rfam family "tRNA", at positions 8 to 63 of the family's 71-position model. Rfam says of the family: Transfer RNA (tRNA) molecules are approximately 80 nucleotides in length. Their secondary structure includes four short double-helical elements and three loops (D, anti-codon, and T loops). Further hydrogen bonds mediate the characteristic L-shaped molecular structure. tRNAs have two regions of fundamental functional importance: the anti-codon, which is responsible for specific mRNA codon recognition, and the 3' end, to which the tRNAs corresponding amino acid is attached (by aminoacyl-tRNA synthetases). tRNAs cope with the degeneracy of the genetic code in two manners: having more than one tRNA (with a specific anti-codon) for a particular amino acid; and 'wobble' base-pairing, i.e. permitting non-standard base-pairing at the 3rd anti-codon position. Lineage: Eukaryota; Metazoa; Chordata; Lepidosauria; Squamata; Lacertidae. The record is from RNAcentral.